Molecule: ribosomal RNA, 1601 nt
Filed under: uncultured eukaryote
Lineage: Eukaryota
Description: SSU rRNA
Rfam family: Eukaryotic small subunit ribosomal RNA
Source: RNAcentral
CAUAUGCUUGUCUCAAAGAUUAAGCCAUGCAUGUCUCAGUAUAAGCUUCUAUACGGCGAAACUGCGAAUUGCUCAUUAGCACAGUUAUAGUUUAUUUGAUUGCCAUUCGUUACAUGGAUAACCUUUGUAAUUCUAGAGCUAAUACACGCGCUCAAGCCAGACUUCGCAGAAGUGUCGUGUUUAUUAGAUACAGAACCAACCCAGGCUCCGCCUGGUCUUUUUGCGAUUCAUGAUAACCGAACGGAUCGCAUGGCUCCAGCUGGCGAUGAAUCCUUCAAGUUUCUGACCUAACAGCUUCCGACGGUAGGGUAUUUGCCUACCGUGGCAAUGACGGGUAACGGAGAAUUAGGGUUCGAUUCCUGAGAGCGACCUUGAGAAACUGCUACCACAUCUAAGGAAGGCAGCAGGCGCGCACAUUACCAAAUCCUGACACAGGGAUGUAGUUGCAAUACAGGGCAUCCAUGUCUUGUAAUUGGAAUGAGUAGAGUUUAAACACCUUUACGAGUACAAAUUGGAGGGCAAGUCUGGUGCCAGCAGCCGCGGUAAUUCCAGUUCCAAUAGCGUGUAUCAAAGUUGUUGCUGUUAAAAAAGCUCGUAGUUGUAUUUCUGCUGGGGACGACCGGUCCGCCCUCUGGGUGCGUAGCUGGCUUGGCCUUAGCAUCCUCUUGGAGAACGUAGCUGCACUUGACUGUGUGGUGCGGAAUCCAGGACUUUUACUUUGAGGAAAUUAGAGUGUUUCAAGCAGGCUUCCGCCUUGACUACAUUAGUAUGGAACAAAUAAGAUAGGACCUCGGUUCUAUUUUGCUGGUUUCUAGAACGGAGGUAAGGAUUAAUAUGGAUAGUGUUGGCAUUCUUACCUAAUGUCAGAGGUGCAAUUCUUGGAUUUGUUAAAGACGGACUACUGCGAAAUCAGUUGCCAAGGAUGUUUCAUGUAUCAGGAACGAAAGUUAGGGGAUCGGAGACUAUCAGAUACCGUCCUAGUCUUAACCAUAAACCACGCCGACUAGAGAUGGGAAGUCGUUAUCUUUACGACUCCUUCAGCACCUUACGAGAAAUCACAGUCUUUGGGUUCGGGGGGGGGGGUGGUGGUCGCAAUACUGAAACUUAAAGGAAUUGACGGAAGGGCACAGCAAGGAGUGGAGCCUGCGCCUUAAUUUGACUCAACACGGGGAAACUCACCAGGUCCAGACAUAGUAAGGAUUGACAGAUUGACAGCUCUUUCUUGAUUCUAUGGGUGGUGGUGCAUGGCAGUUCUUAGUUGGUGGAGUGAUUUGCCUGGUUAAGUCCUUUAACGAAUGAGACCUUAGCCUGCUAAAUAGUAACACGUAACCUCGGUUACGUGGGCUGCUUCUGAGAGGGACUUUGUGUGUCUAACGCAAGGAAGUUUGAUGCAAUAACAGGUCUGUGAUGACCUUAGAUGUUCUGGGCUGCACGCGCGCUACACUGAGGCGCUCAGCGAGUUUUUGACAUUGCCCGGGAGGGUUUGGUCAUCUUUUUAAAAACGCAUCGUGGUGGGGAUAGAUUAUUGCAAGUAUUAAUAUUUAACGAGGAAUUCCUCGUACGCGCGAGCCAUCAGCUCGUGCAAUUUACAUCCCUGCCCU